RNAcentral lists this ribosomal RNA (253 nucleotides) under uncultured bacterium. RNAcentral's name for it is "partial 16S ribosomal RNA". It matches the Rfam family "Bacterial small subunit ribosomal RNA", at positions 524 to 776 of the family's 1533-position model. The record is from RNAcentral.
UACGAAGGGGGCUAGCGUUGUUCGGAAUUACUGGGCGUAAAGCGCACGUAGGCGGAUAUUUAAGUCAGGGGUGAAAUCCCGGGGCUCAACCCCGGAACUGCCUUUGAUACUGGGUAUCUCGAGUCCGAGAGAGGUGAGUGGAAUUCCGAGUGUAGAGGUGAAAUUCGUAGAUAUCGGGAGGAACACCGGUGGCGAAGGCGGCGACCUGGGUCGACACUGACGCUGAGGCGCGAAAGCGUGGGGAGCAAACAGG